CAUAGCUCUUUAUUCCCUGUGCUCGGUGGCAAUGCUGAGAAUGGGUAUGAAGCAUCCUGUUUUGGACCCAAGACUGAUGAGAUGCUUCAAACCAGAAAUUCUUUACAAUUUGCAGGUUUGUGCUGUCUCAGUGUCUGGAUUUGAACCAACUCCCAAAAUGAAAUAUCAUCGAAAGCCUCAAACUUGACCCUCUUUUGCAUCAAACUGUGCGGUCAUGAGUUUUCUGUGAUUUUAAUGCAAACCAUAAACGGGCCCAACUUUGCACAAAAGAGUGCAAUGGCUCCCUGCAUGUUUGCAAGCCUUUCGACACACCUCUUCCAAGCUUCAAGGCUGUAAGUAACCUAGGACACACACUAACACCAUGGCAACUUGCCUAGGGUUUCAGCCGCUCUGUUGUGGUGGCACUGGGGCAGAAGGUGUGCCACUGUCAACUGAGUCACUUCACAGUGACACAGCUGUGAUGACACAAGAAUCUGGAGUAUUACUAGGUGAUUAUCACCAACUGCAGGGGACAGAAUCACUUUAUCUUUUCCUAAAGCCCCAGCAAAGUCUUUUGGCUGCAACUAGAUUGGAUCAGAUCAUUUCUUUUUAUAUGUUUCUAGCUGUAUUGCCAUGGUUUACUGUGCAAAUAACCCAGACUGUUUCCAGUCUGUAUAAUAUACUGUGCACAGACAUUUGGCGUUCUCAUGUUGCACCAUGGGAAGAGAGUCUUAUGUAUGUGCUUAAAGAUUUGAGACACAUGGUGAAACAAGAGGCCAGAUUUUGAAAGACAUCUAGGCACAUCCCAAUGUG
Molecule: long non-coding RNA, 792 nt
Organism: Chelonoidis abingdonii (Abingdon island giant tortoise)
Lineage: Eukaryota; Metazoa; Chordata; Testudines; Testudinidae
Source: RefSeq, a predicted model, not a curated record